CCUACGGGAGGCAGCAGUGGGGAAUCUUGCGCAAUGGGCGAAAGCCUGACGCAGCGACGCCGCGUGAGGGAAGAAGGCCUUCGGGUUGUAAACCUCUUUCAGCAGGGACGAAGCUACUCGGGUUAACAGCCCAGAGGGUGACGGUACCUGUAGAAGAAGCCCCGGCUAACUACGUGCCAGCAGCCGCGGUAAUACGUAGGGGGCAAGCGUUGUCCGGAUUUACUGGGCGUAAAGAGCGUGUAGGCGGCCAAGCAGGUCUGUUGUGAAAACUGGAGGCUCAACCUCCAGACGUCGACAGAAACCGCUUGGCUAGAGUCCGGAAGAGGAGAGUGGAAUUCCUGGUGUAGCGGUGAAAUGCGCAGAUAUCAGGAAGAACACCAAUGGCGAAGGCAGCUCUCUGGGACGGUACUGACGCUGAGACGCGAAAGCGUGGGGAGCGAACAGGAUUAGAUACCCUGGUAGUCCACGCCGUAAACGAUGGGUGCUAGGUGUGGGGGGUGUCGACUCCCUCCGUGCCGCAGCUAACGCAUUAAGCACCCCGCCUGGGGAGUACGGCCGCAAGGCUAAAACUCAAAGGAAUUGACGG
RNAcentral lists this ribosomal RNA (586 nucleotides) under uncultured bacterium. Its description in RNAcentral is "bacterial SSU rRNA". It matches the Rfam family "Bacterial small subunit ribosomal RNA", at positions 338 to 916 of the family's 1533-position model. The record is from RNAcentral.